UCGAUUCAGAAACUGCCCUUGCUGUUAGAAUUUGGUUAGAUUUGUAGUUAAAUCCUAUUUGGAUAAGAAUUAAUAUUUAAAUCUGUUUGAGAUAAAUUAAGAUUUAAAUAUUAAUUAGAGGAUAAAUCUAACUAGAUUAGGAUUAAUAUUUAAAUCUAUUAGAGAUUAAUUAAGAUAGAUUUAGAUAUUAAUUGGAAUAGAAAUCCUAAAUAUAUUAGGAUUGGGGUACGUUUUAGUGGAGCUUUAUAAAUAGCUCUUUGUUGGUUUGUUUUUGAGGUGAAGUACGGGAGAGAGAGAGAGAGAGUCUCUUGGGUUGCCGUACCAGAGAGAGAAAAAGAGAGAGAGAAAGAGAGUUAUUUAAUUAUGCUUUGAGUGCACCUAGUGCACGGGUGCAUGUGAAGGAUUGUCUUCUUUAUGGAUUUAUAGAAGACGAGAGAAUGGUAGAAAAGAUUCAGAAAGAGGGCUCGGGUUGUAGCUACUCUGUGCAGUAGAGGAGUCAGGUGUAAUCUUCUCUUAUUUAAUGAAUCUUAUUUUACUCGUAUAUUUUCUAUUUUUUGGUAUUUCUCUCUUUUAUGAUUGUAUCAGCUUUUGCUGAGGAGACGGGUUUAUGGUAAAAAUCCGAUUCGACAUUUCCGUUGCGGAAUCCCAACAAUCAAUACCGAAUCCACAGCAAUCGGUAUCGGAGCGGGUUGUGGAUUCACGAGAUCCGGUACCGGGGCGAGUACCGGAUUCCCAACAAGUGGUAUCAGAGCCGAAGGUUACCGAUCUGCGGGAGAAAUCGACAAAGAUGGCCACGAAAUUCGAAAUCGAGAAGUUCGACGGCAAGAACAAUUUCGGAUUAUGGCAAAUUAAAGUACGAGCAAUCCUCGUACAGCAAGAAUUGGACGAGACAUUGAACGGGAAGGAGGCGAAGCCGGCGGAGGUCACGGAUGCGACAUGGACGAAGAUGGAGCGGAAGGCACUGAGUACGCUUCAUCUCUCAUUAGCAGAUGAGGUUCUUUACAACGUAGCCAGUGAGACGACACCAGCGAAGUUGUGGAAGAAACUAGAAGAUCUGUAUAUGACCAAAUCCUUGACGAACAGGUUAUAUCUGAUGCAGCGAUUGUUUACGCUGCGGAUGCAUGAAGCGGCAAGCCUACAUGAUCAUCUGAACGAGUUCAACAAGGUGGUGGCCCAGUUGACCAGCAUCGGAGUCAAUCUGGAUGAUGAAGACAAGGCGUUGAUCCUACUAUCUUCGCUACCGACGACAUAUGAGCAUCUGGUGACCACGUUGCUUUAUGGCGAGGAGUCCAUAAGCGUGGAGGCGGUCACGGCGGCGCUUCUCUCGAACGAGAUGCGGAAGAUGACUCAGGAGUCCGGCACACAGAGCAGGGAUAUAGCUUUGGUGGUGAGAGCGAAGAAGGAGGCGACAACAUCAGCGACCGGAUAUCGACAGAAGAAACCGCUAUCUGAGGUAGAAUGCUUUUACUGUCACAGGAAGGGGCAUAUCAAGCGCAAUUGUCGAAAACUUCAGGAUAAUCUGAAGGAGUUAAAGCGACAGACGGAGCAAACUGUCGUGAACCAGGAUGAGACGGUAUCAGCGACGGCGCAGACAGCAGAAUCGGAGAUGAUCGAUUCUGAUGUGCUAUAUGCAGCGACCGGAGGUGCGAAAAUUUCGGAUGACGCGUGGGUGCUCGAUUCGGCGUGUUCUUUUCACGUAUGCCCGGAGAAGGAGUCUUUUGCAACCUAUAAGACGAUCAAAGGUGGAAAAGCUCUAAUGGGGAACGGGACGACGUGCAAAGUUUUGGGAGUCGGCACGGUGAAGAUCCGAAUGCACGAUGGAGUCGUGAGGACGCUGACAGGUGUGCAACACAUUCCUGGAUUGAGACGAAAUUUGAUCUCGUUAGGCGCGUUGGACUCGAAAGGUUGUGAUAUUUCGGCUUCAGGUGGAGCUAUGAGUGUCCGAAAACGAGAUCGGAUCGUAUGCGAGGCGAACAAGCGUGGGAACUUAUACAUUCUGAACGGGAGCACAGCCAGAACGGGAGCGAAGACGGUUUGGGUUCCAAAAGUUCGCGGAUGUGCAGUUGCUCGAGACGGAGCGACGGAUGCGGCGACAUCGAGCGGAGGAGACAAGCUCAAGGUGGAGCUUGCAUGGUGAGCUCGACGUAGCGGUUGAAAAUUACAAAUCAAACCAAGGUGGAAAAUGUUAGAAUUUGGUUAGAUUUGUAGUUAAAUCCUAUUUGGAUAAGAAUUAAUAUUUAAAUCUGUUUGAGAUAAAUUAAGAUUUAAAUAUUAAUUAGAGGAUAAACCUAACUAGAUUAGGAUUAAUAUUUAAAUCUAUUAGAGAUUAAUUAAGAUAGAUUUAGAUAUUAAUUGGAAUAGAAAUCCUAACUAUAUUAGGAUUGGGGUACAUUUUAGUGGAGCCUUAUAAAUAGCUCUUUGUGAGUUUGCUUUUGAGGUGAAGUACGGGAGAGAGAGAGAGAGUCUCUUGGGUUGCCGUACCAGAGAGAGAAAAAGAGAGAGAGAGUUUGCUUUUGAGGUGAAGUACGGGAGAGAGAGAGAGAGUCUCUUGGGUUGCCGUACCAGAGAGAGAAAAAGAGAGAGAGAGAGAGAGAGAGUUAUUUAAUUAUGCUUUGAGUGCAC
This 2622-nucleotide long non-coding RNA is filed under the name Ananas comosus (pineapple). Its description in RNAcentral is "long non-coding RNA (ACOM_LNC022121)". Lineage: Eukaryota; Viridiplantae; Streptophyta; Magnoliopsida; Poales; Bromeliaceae. The record is from RNAcentral.